Molecule: ribosomal RNA, 1246 nt
Filed under: Phytoplasma sp.
Lineage: Bacteria; Bacillati; Mycoplasmatota; Mollicutes; Acholeplasmatales; Acholeplasmataceae
Description: bacterial SSU rRNA
Rfam family: Bacterial small subunit ribosomal RNA
Source: RNAcentral
ACAGUGGCUAAGACUGGAUAGGAAGAUAAAAGGCAUCUUUUAUCUUUUAAAAGACCUAGUAAUAGGUAUGCUUUAGGAGGGGCUUGCGCCAUAUUAGUUAGUUGGUAGGGUAAUGGCCUACCAAGACGAUGAUGUGUAGCUGGACUGAGAGGUUGAACAGCCACAUUGGGACUGAGACACGGCCCAAACUCCUACGGGAGGCAGCAGUAGGGAAUUUUCGGCAAUGGAGGAAACUCUGACCGAGCAACGCCGCGUGAAUGACGAAGUACUUCGGUAUGUAAAGUUCUUUUAUCAAGGAAGAAAAGCAAAUGGCGAACCAUUUGUUUGCCGGUACUUGAUGAAUAAGCCCCGGCUAAUUAUGUGCCAGCAGCCGCGGUAAGACAUAAGGGGCAAGUGUUAUCCGGAAUUAUUGGGCGUAAAGGGUGCGUAGGCGGUCUAGUAAGUCAGUGGUGUAAUGGCAACGCUUAACGUUUUCCGGCUAUUGAAACUGCUAAACUUGAGUUAGAUAGAGGCGAGUGGAAUUCCAUGUGUAGCGGUAAAAUGCGUAAAUAUAUGGAGGAACACCAGAGGCGUAGGCGGCUCGCUGGGUCUUAACUGACGCUGAGGCACGAAAGCGUGGGGAGCAAACAGGAUUAGAUACCCUGGUAGUCCACGCCGUAAACGAUGAGUACUAAGUGUCGGGUUAAACCGGUACUGAAGUUAACACAUUAAGUACUCCGCCUGAGUAGUACGUACGCAAGUAUGAAACUUAAAGGAAUUGACGGGACUCCGCACAAGCGGUGGAUCAUGUUGUUUAAUUCGAAGAUACCCGAAAAACCUUACCAGGUCUUGACAUGUUUUUGCAAAAUGAUAGUAAUAUCGUGGAGGUUACCAGAAACACAGGUGGUGCAUGGUUGUCGUCAGCUCGUGUCGUGAGAUGUUAGGUUAAGUCCUAAAACGAGCGAAACCCUUAUCGUUAGUUGCCAGCACGUUAUGGUGGGGACUUUAACGAGACUGCCAAUGAUAAAUUGGAGGAAGGUGAGGAUCACGUCAAAUCAGCAUGCCCCUUAUGACCUGGGCUACAAACGUGAUACAAUGGCUGUUACAAAGGGUAGCUGAAACGCAAGUUCUUGGCCAAUCCCCAAAAACAGUCCCAGUCCGGAUUGAAGUCUGCAACUCGACUUCAUGAAGUUGGAAUCGCUAGUAAUCGCGAAUCAGCAUGUCGCGGUGAAUACGUUCUCGGGGUUUGUACACACCGCCCGUCAAA